GAUGAACGCUAGCGGCAGGCCUAAUACAUGCAAGCCGAACGGCAAGUUUGAUAGCAAUAUUGGACCUAGAGUGGCGCAAGGGUGCGUAACACGUAUGCAACCUGCCCGCGACAGGAGGAUAGCUCCCCGAAAGGGGAAUUAACCCUCCAUAACACCAUGAGAAGGCAUCUGAUUAUGGUUAAACCGCACGGGGUCGCGGAUGGGCAUGCGGUUGAUUAGCUAGUUGGCGGGGUAAAGGCCCACCAAGGCGGUGAUCAAUAGGGGUUCUGAGAGGAAGGUCCCCCACACUGGCACUGGGAUACGGGCCAGACUCCUACGGGAGGCAGCAGUAGGGAAUAUUGGACAAUGGUUGCAAGACUGAUCCAGCCAUGCCGCGUGCAGGAAGAAGGCCUUCUGGGUCGUAAACUGCUUUUUCCUGUGGAUAAAAUACCCGUGCGCGGGGAAUUGAAGGUAACAGGGGAAUAAGCAACGGCUAACUACGUG
This 483-nucleotide ribosomal RNA is filed under the name uncultured bacterium. RNAcentral's name for it is "partial 16S ribosomal RNA". It matches the Rfam family "Bacterial small subunit ribosomal RNA", at positions 28 to 507 of the family's 1533-position model. The record is from RNAcentral.